GAGUUUGAGCCUGGCUCAGGACGAACGCUGGCGGCGUGCUUAACACAUGCAAGUCGAACGAUGAAGCGGUGCUUGCACCGUGGAUUAGUGGCGAACGGGUGAGUAAUACGUGAGUGACCUACCUUUGACUCUGGGAUAAGCCUGGGAAACUGGGUCUAAUACCGGAUACGACCAAUCUCUGCAUGGGGUGUUGGUGGAAAGCGUUAUGGAGUGGUUUAGAUGGGCUCGCGGCCUAUCAGCUUGUUGGUGAGGUAAUGGCUUACCAAGGCGACGACGGGUAGCCGGCCUGAGAGGGUGACCGGCCACACUGGGACUGAGACACGGCCCAGACUCCUACGGGAGGCAGCAGUGGGGAAUAUUGCACAAUGGGCGCAAGCCUGAUGCAGCGACGCCGCGUGAGGGAUGACGGCCUUCGGGUUGUAAACCUCUGUUAGCAUCGAGGAAGCGAAAGUGACGGUAGGUGCAGAGAAAGCGCCGGCUAACUACGUGCCAGCAGCCGCGGUAAUACGUAGGGCGCGAGCGUUGUCCGGAAUUAUUGGGCGUAAAGAGCUUGUAGGCGGUUGGUCGCGUCUGCUGUGAAAGGCCGGGGCUUAACUCCGGUUUUGCAGUGGGUACGGGCUAACUAGAGUGCAGUAGGGGAGACUGGAAUUCCUGGUGUAGCGGUGGAAUGCACAGAUAUCAGGAGGAACACCGAUGGCGAAGGCAGGUCUCUGGGCUGUAACUGACGCUGAGAAGCGAAAGCAUGGGGAGCGAACAGGAUUAGAUACCCUGGUAGUCCAUGCCGUAAACGUUGGGCACUAGGUGUGGGGGACAUUCCACGUUUUCCGCGCCGUAGCUAACGCAUUAAGUGCCCCGCCUGGGGAGUACGGCCGCAAGGCUAAAACUCAAAGGAAUUGACGGGGGCCCGCACAAGCGGCGGAGCAUGCGGAUUAAUUCGAUGCAACGCGAAGAACCUUACCAAGGCUUGACAUGCAUUAGAUCGCGUCAGAGAUGGCGUUUCCCUUCGGGGCUGGUGUACAGGUGGUGCAUGGUUGUCGUCAGCUCGUGUCGUGAGAUGUUGGGUUAAGUCCCGCAACGAGCGCAACCCUCGUUCUAUGUUGCCAGCGGUUCGGCCGGGGACUCAUAGGAGACUGCCGGGGUCAACUCGGAGGAAGGUGGGGAUGACGUCAAAUCAUCAUGCCCCUUAUGUCUUGGGCUUCACGCAUGCUACAAUGGCCGGUACAGAGGGUUGCGAUACUGUGAGGUGGAGCUAAUCCCUUAAAGCCGGUCUCAGUUCGGAUUGGGGUCUGCAACUCGACCCCAUGAAGUCGGAGUCGCUAGUAAUCGCAGAUCAGCAACGCUGCGGUGAAUACGUUCCCGGGCCUUGCACACACCGCCCGUCAAG
Molecule: ribosomal RNA, 1384 nt
Filed under: uncultured bacterium
Lineage: Bacteria
Description: bacterial SSU rRNA
Rfam family: Bacterial small subunit ribosomal RNA
Source: RNAcentral